This 509-nucleotide long non-coding RNA is filed under the name Nicotiana benthamiana. RNAcentral's name for it is "long non-coding RNA (NBEN_LNC004606)". Lineage: Eukaryota; Viridiplantae; Streptophyta; Magnoliopsida; Solanales; Solanaceae. The record is from RNAcentral.
GGAAAUAAAAUUAGAAGUCAUUUGUCACUUAUAGGAGAGAGAAAAAUUUGGAGAGGGGGAAUUUUGGAGAGAAAAAUAUUUUUAGUACUAGGAGGAAAAAUCUAUUUCUUUUCUUCACUGUUAAAAAGCAACAUCAAUUCCUAUUAUUCAUUGAAGCUUCAAGCUUCUUUUCUUGAGUAUUAAAAAUCAGAAUGGACUAUUUUGGCAACUGGUUAUUUCUCUGUUGGCAUGUACUUAUUUUUUAAUACUACUGGCAUUCAAGUAGUAUAGCUUGGGUUUACUGUUGGUUUUCGGUUGGUUUGGAAUUUCUGGUUUUUCUUCUUGGUUGUAAUCUCUUGGGUUUUGCUAAUAUUCCCGUUGUUACAGGGUUACUCCUGUGUUGCUGAACUGCUGUUGCUGUGUGUGCUGCUAUUGCUUCCUACUGAUCUUGAUCUUCUUUGUAUUCCAAUACUAGGUACACCACUUUGAAUCACUUUGAUGUACGCCUUGAAGAUGAAAUGAAAUGGCAG